AGCUCUGCUUCAACCAGUGCCCUGGGAAUGCCUCCCAGCCCCACAUCUGUCCUGUCGGCCCAGGCGAGCUCCAUGCCAUGUGGCAUCUCUGCUGGUGGCCACCUGCAGCAGCAGAUAGGCCAGGUCUCCCCAGGUGGCCUCCUUCAGCCUGACAAUAUAAAUUAACAGUCUGGUCUUCAUGACGUGGGACAAAAGGAGACAAGAAAUCGUCCCUCCUGCCCCUGAGACGAAUGCAUAUUUGACGUCUUCCUCUACUCUGUUUAUUAAGUGGAGAUUUACUGAGCACAAGGUGAAUGGGAAACUCCGAUGGCACUUCCCAGCCCAGCCACGGCAGCCACCUCAGUAACAAGACCAUCUCCUUGACUGAGUUCCAGCCAGGCUCCUUGGAGCCUCUCCACUCGGCCUCAACUUUGGCUUGUAAAGACUUGAGCAGACACUAACAGUGUCUAACAGCUUCUGGCCGCACCCCUAGGCCGACCCCUGCCCCGUCAACACCUGCCUGAGAAAGCUCCGUGCACCAGAACUGACUGACUGCUCCAACCCCGACCUCCCUUUCUCAGGGCAUCUGCUGAAAGGCCUGCGACCACACGUCCUUCUGUCCGUUCCCGAGGUCUGUGCAUUUCCUGUGACCCAGGAGGGCCUUUCUCGGGACCUGAGAGCCACUCCCUGAAGUGUCCCCAUUGGGAAGAUGGGGCCGGUGUCUCCAGGCUCUGGGAGGACAGAAUCCUGACCUCAACAGUGGCCAGCGUGGACACAGCGGGCCCCAUCCCAGCGACGCUGACCAGCGCUGGGCAACUUUUCCCUUCCUCGACGACUGAGCCCCGAGCACCCUCCCUGCUCCCUGUACCAUCUCCCUUUACAAGGCUGUCGCCUCUGCACAGACGAAGGUGUGUUCAGGUCUUGCUGGACUCUUUCUUCUGUUGCAAUAGUUAUUUCUGUUGAAAAUCUGUCCUUGCUAUGUGACCUAGUGCCCAGCUUUAUCUUUGAAAAUGUCUGUCUCCACCUCUGCCUCUCCGGCCUGGUCCCUGUUUCUGGCACCCAACAUGUCUCUUACGGGCUGAAUUUUGCCCCAGAAUGAAUCACACACCAGGUUUCACCCAGACCUGAUUAAGGUGAUAUUUUGAUGAGAUUUUAGGCUGAGAAUUGAUGCGGAAAGGGCUAAGACUUGGGGAUGCUGAGAUAGGAUCAAUGUAUUUUGCAUGUGAGAAGAACAUGAAUUUUGGGGACCAGAGUAUGGACUGUUAUGAGUUACGUUGUGACCCCGACAAAUUCAUAUAUUGAAGUCUUAAUCCCCAGCCUCACAAUGUGACUGUGUUUGGAGAUGGGGUCUUUACAGAGCUCAUUACGUUCCUAUGAGAUCACUAAUCUAAUCUGAUGUGUGUUCUUCUAAGAAGAGAAGCUUAGGACGCGGGCACACAGAGGGAUGGCCAUGUGAGGACCCAGGGAGGAGACGGUGUGUAUAAGCCAAGGAGAGAGGGCUUGAGAGAAACCAGCCCUGCCUGCAUCCCGAUCUCAGAUUCCUGGUCUCUAGGCCUGGGAGGAUGGAUGUCUGGGGUGCGAGCCGCCCCUCUGUGGUCCUGAGCUGACUCACACAGAUCUGACACCCACCUCUUGAUUCUGGAAGGCCCUCUGUGUGGCUCUGCCUGGCCAGCCUGAGCCAGCUCCCAGGCCUCAACCCAGCUUGUCCUGGAAGCCCUGCCCCAUGCAGAGUGACCAGGGCAGGCAGCACCGUGCCCAGCAGGAGGAGAAACUGCAUCCAUGUAGGCAAGAGGAGAAGCCCCGGGGGUCCAUGUAGCGACAGGGGCC
This is a long non-coding RNA of Rhinopithecus roxellana (golden snub-nosed monkey), 1806 nucleotides long. RefSeq lists it as uncharacterized. The transcript is spliced from 3 exons. Lineage: Eukaryota; Metazoa; Chordata; Mammalia; Primates; Cercopithecidae. The record is from RefSeq and is a predicted model, not a curated record.